This 328-nucleotide unclassified non-coding RNA is filed under the name uncultured fungus. RNAcentral's name for it is "partial contains small subunit ribosomal RNA, internal transcribed spacer 1, and 5.8S ribosomal RNA". The stretch from base 1 to 73 matches the Rfam family "Eukaryotic small subunit ribosomal RNA", at positions 1759 to 1831 of the family's 1831-position model. Lineage: Eukaryota; Fungi. The record is from RNAcentral.
GCAAACUUGGUCAUUUAGAGGAAGUAAAAGUCGUAACAAGGUUUCCGUAGGUGAACCUGCGGAAGGAUCAUUACCGAGUUAGGGUCUGCCUCUGUGCGGCCCGACCUCCCAACCCCGUGUCUAACGUACCUCAAUGUUGCUUCGGCGGACCGGUUGACCAACUGGUCUUGACCGCCGGGGACCUGCGUGCCCUGGAGAGCGUCCGCCGAUGGCCCAAGUACAAACUUCUUGAUACCAAAAAUUUGUUGCCUGAAUAUACUUGAUAUUAAUCAAAAACAAAACUUUCAACAACGGAUCUCUUGGUUCUGGCAUCGAUGAAGAACGCAGC